RNAcentral lists this transfer RNA (81 nucleotides) under Clavibacter michiganensis. Its description in RNAcentral is "tRNA-Arg". Lineage: Bacteria; Bacillati; Actinomycetota; Actinomycetes; Micrococcales; Microbacteriaceae. The record is from RNAcentral.
GUGGUCGACGGGCCGAGCUUCACGCCCAGCGGGUUGCGGACCCGCGAGAGGAAGUCGACGUGCGCGCCGUCGAGGUCGCGC